RNAcentral lists this ribosomal RNA (464 nucleotides) under uncultured bacterium. RNAcentral's name for it is "partial 16S ribosomal RNA". It matches the Rfam family "Bacterial small subunit ribosomal RNA", at positions 28 to 506 of the family's 1533-position model. The record is from RNAcentral.
GACGAACGCUGGCGGCGUGCUUAACACAUGCAAGUCGAACGGUGAACUCCGCUUGCGGGGGGAUCAGUGGCGCACGGGUGAGUAACACGUGGGCAACCUGCCCUCAGCUCUGGGAUAACUCCAAGAAAUUGGGGCUAAUACCGGAUAUGACCGCUGACCGCAUGGUCUGGUGGUGGAAAGAUUUAUCGGCUGGGGGUGGGCCCGCGGCCUAUCAGCUUGUUGGUGGGGUAGUGGCCUACCAAGGCGACGACGGGUAGCCGGCCUGAGAGGGUGACCGGCCACACUGGGACUGAGACACGGCCCAGACUCCUACGGGAGGCAACAGUGGGGAAUAUUGCGCAAUGGGCGAAAGCCUGACGCAGCGACGCCGCGUGGGGGAUGACGGCCUUCGGGUUGUAAACCUCUUUCAGCAGGGACGAAGCGAAAGUGACGGUACCUGCAGAAGAAGCACCGGCCAACUACGU